CUACAGUUCGUGCAUCCAUUCAUGAGGCUAGAGCUUCUUCAAGCUCAGUCUUGUCCUGACGCCAUCACUAAUCAUGUUCACCUUCUUCAACAUCCUUCAUCACCACCACCACCUCAGUAACUCUUUAAUGUAAUCAUUUAUAAUCUUGUAGUACUUAGUUUUUCCAAAAUCAAAUUUUCCUUUUUAUACAAAGUUUUUGAUUUUGGAUUCCUCUUGUAACAUUACCAACACCAAACAAUGAAAAAAAAUCUUCUCCAUCUACAACAAGAAAAAUGAAAAAUUAUAAACAUUAAGAAAGACUAACAUUGGAAAAAACAAGAAGUUAAUGUAAAAGAAAAAAACCGAAAAAUAAUAUUAUAAAUAAAAUAAAUUUAUAAUACACAAUGAAAAAAUCUCUAGUUAAUGUAAACGCUGCUGUAUUAAUUAAUCAUCAGAUGUUACUGGGGUUACUGUUUCGAAAGCCUUGCGACGGAAGAUCCAGGGAGAGCUUAUGGGGAAGACAUACAUCACGUGGAUGCAAACGUUGAAUUUGUAUCUGUUGUCAAGACUAAACUCGGAGUUCACCGUGUUCUCAUGGGUGCUGAAAUGGAUUGCUGCGACGAAACUGAUGAAGGAAGGAGGAUUUAUAUAGAGUUGAAAACAUCUCGUGAGGUAUGCCACUUAAUGCUAUAGUUUCCUUCAAAGCUCCAUUGUUAUUUCAGCUUCUGUUUUCAGUGUCUGAAACUCCCUGCUGUUUUUUUUUGCUUUCCAGUUGGAUGAUCGUACGGUAGAGAGAUUUGAGAGAGAGAAACUGCUUAAGUUCUGGGUACGUAUGGUGUCUGGUAUAUUAUAUCUUCUUUGUUUCUCAUUUCUUGUGAAUAACUAUGAGAAAACUUGUUCACUUCUGUGCAGAUACAAUCAUUUGUAGCAGGAGUGCCAUAUAUUCUCGUUGGAUAUAGGUAAACAUAGUCACACGAUUUUGGCUGGUUAACUCAUAAAAGUUUUCUCCUUUUCGAGAUUCAUCCAAGUAAAUGUUUUUCUUACUUGGUUGUAGAGAUGAUGGAGGGAGACUAGUACGCACAGAGAGACUGAGAACAAAAGAUAUCGCACACAGAGCCAGACUGAAAAACUAUUGGCAGGUUAGUGUUGUAUCCACUAAACUCUCAUUAUAAAUAAUCCAAGUCUUAUUAAAACUAAACACAAUUGAGUUUUUUGGGAGACUAGGGAGGAGUGUGUUUGGCAUUUGCUGAUGAGGUUCUUUGCUGGCUCUACGGCACUGUUAAAGAGAGUAAGCUCCCAUAUAAUUUUUUUUUUUUGUGCCUCUAUACAUAUAGAACAAAGUAAUAAGACCAAUAUCUUUAUGUGUUUUAUUUGCAGACGAAGAUUACACACUACAGUUCGUGCAUCCAUUCAUGAGGCUAGAGCUUCUUCAAGCUCAGUCAUGUCCUGACGCCAUCUCUAAUCAUUUUCACCUUCUUCAACAUCCUUCAUCACCACCACCACCACCUUCCUCCUCAGUAACUACUUAAUGUAAUCAUUUAUAAUCUUGUAGUACUUAGUUUUUCCAAAAUCAAAUUUCCUUUUUUAUACAAAGUUUUUGAUUUUGGAUUCCUCUUGUA
Molecule: long non-coding RNA, 1598 nt
Filed under: Brassica napus (rape)
Lineage: Eukaryota; Viridiplantae; Streptophyta; Magnoliopsida; Brassicales; Brassicaceae
Description: long non-coding RNA (BNAP_LNC009314)
Source: RNAcentral